This 626-nucleotide ribosomal RNA is filed under the name uncultured bacterium. RNAcentral's name for it is "bacterial SSU rRNA". It matches the Rfam family "Bacterial small subunit ribosomal RNA", at positions 338 to 955 of the family's 1533-position model. The record is from RNAcentral.
CCUACGGGAGGCAGCAGUGGGGAAUUUUGGACAAUGGGCGAAAGCCUGAUCCAGCCAUGCCGCGUGAGUGAAGAAGGCCUUCGGGUUGUAAAGCUCUUUUAGUCGGAAAGAAAGAGUUGCAAUGAAUAAUUGUGAUUUAUGACGGUACCGACAGAAAAAGCACCGGCUAACUACGUGCCAGCAGCCGCGGUAAUACGUAGGGUGCGAGCGUUAAUCGGAAUUACUGGGCGUAAAGGGUGCGCAGGCGGUCUUGCAAGUCAGAUGUGAAAGCCCCGGGCUUAACCUGGGAAUUGCGUUUGAAACUACAAGGCUAGAGUGCAGCAGAGGGGAGUGGAAUUCCAUGUGUAGCAGUGAAAUGCGUAGAGAUGUGGAAGAACACCGAUGGCGAAGGCAGCUCCCUGGGUUGACACUGACGCUCAUGCACGAAAGCGUGNGGAGCAAACAGGAUUAGAUACCUGGUAGUCCACGCCCUAAACGAUGUCAACUAGUUGUCGGAUCUAAUUAAGGAUUUGGUAACGUAGCGUAACGCGUGAAGUUGACCGCCUGGGGAGUACGGUCGCAAGAUUAAAACUCAAAGGAAUUGACGGGGACCCGCACAAGCGGUGGAUUAUGUGGAUUAAUUCGAU